UUCGCUUGAUAACGAAGAGCUCGCAACCACGUGUGUGUUGAGUUUUGUGUUGCUACUGGAUUCAUCAACAUGAGGCUGCAGCUGACAUGUAUAUUUCUGUUAAAGAACAUAGUUUUGGCUACAGCAGUCAGAGAACCAUCGAGUCCGGCGUGUUCUCGUUAUGAUUACGAGGAACGCUUGUUGGAAAGAGUUUUGCGCAAUUAGCUUUCCAUCGAAAAUAUGUUAAAAGAAAUAUGUGAGACUAAUGUAAAAGUGGAAUCUGCAUUAAAAUUGAUGCAUGAAGACAGACACAAACUAGCAGCGUCGAAAGAAGAAAUGGACACAGAAAUAAAAGCCACACUACAUGUCAGUCUUAAAAACAUGUCCGAUUCUCUUGCAUUUAUGAAACAUUUGCAUGCAGAAAUGGGAACCCAAUUGAAUGAUGUAAUCAAUACCUCGAUGAUAAAUAUAUCUGAUGCUGUAGCCAAGAUGACAGAAAAUUCGUCAAAAACUGGGUUGCAGUUGAAUAAGGAUAUCGACAUCUUGAAAGAACAGUUGACCAUUUCCUCGAUUUAUUUCCACGCAUUUAACGUAGCAGAAUACAGCUUUGAUACCAGUCAAAUCGUUGUCUAUACUACAGUGCGGGUCAACGAAGGUCAAUGUUAUGACCUGAAAACUGGAAGGUUCACUGUGUCUGUCCCUGGACUGUAUGUAUUUACCGUCCAUUACGAUGUUGGUCCUUCAGCGCGUGCUUACCUCGCAAUCGUUCAUCAAGGAGCUAAGAAACAGGAAUCAUAUAUUCACCAUACAAGCAACGAUUACGAGAGUGCGUCUAUGCAAGUUUUCAUCAAGGUCGCCAAGUCAGAUCAGAUCUGGGUGCAAGCACAACAAGGUUCUAACUUAUACAGUUCUACCACUUACAAUUCGUUUACCGGUGUCCUCAUACACGUGUAAAAUAAAGUUUCACAUCAGUUACAUUAUGAUUUCUGUAAUUAUGUUCGAAUUAUGCGUUAUAGUAGUUUAUAGUAAUAACUUUUACUUUUCUCGAUAUGUGUUUGCAUGUAUUCGGCAAAUGUUAUUACAUAAAUCUGUAUUACAAAUUUGCUUGCAGUCCACAAAACCGAUGCUUGUAAAGGAUUGUUGUGAA
Molecule: long non-coding RNA, 1126 nt
Organism: Dreissena polymorpha
Lineage: Eukaryota; Metazoa; Mollusca; Bivalvia; Myida; Dreissenidae
Exons: 2
Source: RefSeq, a predicted model, not a curated record